Choloepus hoffmanni (Hoffmann's two-fingered sloth) is the source of this 84-nucleotide microRNA precursor. Ensembl annotates it as microRNA 34b. The record is from Ensembl. Lineage: Eukaryota; Metazoa; Chordata; Mammalia; Pilosa; Megalonychidae.
GUGCUCGGUUUGUAGGCAGUGUAAUUAGCUGAUUGUACUCUGGUGCUUACAAUCACUAACUCCACUGCCAUCAAAACAAGGCAC